UUGGAGUCUGUUCACAUUUGACAUGUCUGAACAAAUCAUUUAAAUUCUGUAUAAAAGCUGAAAGUGUUCAGAAAAAGAUCUGAAAUUAUUGAUGUAUUUUUUAAUGAUUAGAUUGAAGUAUGUGGUGAUAAAUAUAUAAUAUUCUUCAUAUCUUGUAAUCAUCAACAUGACAGUUGUCAUUCUGACAGAGAAAAACGUUUCUUCAUUCUAUCAAACCAAAUUUCAUCAAUAUAUUAUAUUGUUUUAUAUUCUAAUAUAUUAUCAGUAAUAAUAAUUAAUGUGAAAUUAUUCUGCUCUUAUUUUGAAAUGUAGAAUUUGCAGAUACGUCAUUGUGUGUGUUCCUCAUAGAACCUCUGAUGACAUGAGCUGAUCCUUGUGUUUGAUAUGAAGGUGAACACAGUACAUGUGGUGAACUUUGUGCUGUAUUGAUGAGCAGUUUAGUGAUCAGAGUCCAUGUAGUUUCCAGGAUCAGACUGAAUGCAGUGCAGUGCUGGAAGCUGCUGUUGACUGUGUGAAUGUGUGUCUGUGGCGCUCGUGGCUGCCGUCAAACUCCAGAUGAGCCGGUAGCGAAGCCCGUGGCGAGCGUGUACCCGGCGGCGCCCGGAGCCCGCCUGGAGGGCCGGAGCGCCCUGCUGUGUCUGGCCUCGGCCAUGUUUCCCCCUGUGGUCCGGUUCUCCUGGAAAAGACGAAAGGAGAACGGUCCUCUGGAGGAGCCGCCCCCCGCUGAGACAGAGCAGCUGGAGCUCAGAGAGUCGGGACGCGCCGCCGCCAUCUUGCUGAUCCAUCAGCCACAGAGGAGCUCAUAUAAUUACAUCUGCUACGUCCAGCACGAGGGGGGCAAAGUGGAGGCCCCACCAGUACCAGUGUCAGUGUCAGUGUCAGUGUCCUUCCAGUCUCAGUGCAGGGUGAAGCUGCUCUUGCUGCUGUACUCAGUGCUGAUAGUGAAGAGUCUGGUGUACUGCUGUGGACUCUCUCUGCUGAUGAUCCUCAGAAACAAGGGACCGUCCACCAACUGCACACAUGCUGACUGACUGUUUCCUGCUCGCCUUUCCUCGCCAUCAGAUCUCAUCCCUUCAUCUCAUGCUUCGUCCUAAACGUACAAAUACAUAUACACACAUAUAUAUAUCUGCAGUUACUGAGUGUAUAUUCUGUGGUAAAGUGUUAUUUUGAUCCUCUAGUUUAUUUCUGCUUUGAAUUGUGACUUUUAUAAUAAUAGAAAAUGAAGCUGAAUCAUUGGCUGCCUGCUACAUAUUUUAUUGUUUGUGCUAUUUUUCUGUUCUUGUCUUUCUUUUUAAUACAUGAUGCAGAGUGUGGCAGGUUUGUCAAAUUCUUUCACUCAAACAUUCUCAAUAAAGAGAAAAAUCACA
Non-coding RNA from Chelmon rostratus (copperband butterflyfish), 1367 nucleotides. Lineage: Eukaryota; Metazoa; Chordata; Actinopteri; Chaetodontiformes; Chaetodontidae. The record is from the annotation of a RefSeq genome assembly.